Molecule: transfer RNA, 71 nt
Filed under: Perisphaerus sp. 1 ZQW-2023b
Lineage: Eukaryota; Metazoa; Arthropoda; Insecta; Blattodea; Blaberidae
Description: tRNA-Trp
Source: RNAcentral
AAGGUUUUAAGUUAAUUCAUAAAACUAAUAUCCUUCAAAGUUAUAAAUAAAGUUUCUAUCUUUAGGCCUUA